UGGUAGUGGGAUAGAGAGUUUGGUACUCCUUUUUCCCCAUACUUUUUGUUUCUGUUUCGAAUUCCUUGUUUUAUUCUCCUGUGCAAGAACUAAAGAAGUGGAUUCAACUUUUGCUGAACAUUGCUGCUUGUUGAUAGAAUUUUGCAGAGUAGUCUGUUUCAUCUGUUAUAUAAUUCCUUUUAACUGUUGCAAGAAAUUCUUUUGUUCAAUGGAUACGUGUAUUUGAUUCCACAUUUUGCUUAGGGAUGAAAUUUUUAUUUGAUGAUUUGCCUAUUUAUUUGGGAUGUUGUUCCUGGUGGAAUGGAUUCCAUGUAGUUAUUUCCUGAUCAUAUAUUGGAGUUAUCCUGCAUGGUGUGGAUGUCCCAGACGCAAGUAG
RNAcentral lists this unclassified non-coding RNA (376 nucleotides) under Hevea brasiliensis (rubber tree). The record is from RNAcentral. Lineage: Eukaryota; Viridiplantae; Streptophyta; Magnoliopsida; Malpighiales; Euphorbiaceae.